AUUGAACGCUGGCGGCAGGCCUAACACAUGCAAGUCGAGCGGAAACGAGAAUAGCUUGCUAUUCGGCGUCGAGCGGCGGACGGGUGAGUAAUGCCUGGGAAUAUGCCCUGAUGUGGGGGAUAACUAUUGGAAACGAUAGCUAAUACCGCAUAAUCUCUUCGGAGUAAAGAGGGGGACCUUCGGGCCUCUCGCGUCAGGAUUAGCCCAGGUGGGAUUAGCUUGUUGGUGGGGUAAAGGCUCACCAAGGCAACGAUCCCUAGCUGGUCUGAGAGGAUGAUCAGCCACACUGGAACUGAGACACGGUCCAGACUCCUACGGGAGGCAGCAGUGGGGAAUAUUGCACAAUGGGCGAAAGCCUGAUGCAGCCAUGCCGCGUGUAUGAAGAAGGCCUUCGGGUUGUAAAGUACUUUCAGUUGUGAGGAAGGGGGUAACGUUAAUAGCGUUACCUCUUGACGUUAGCAACAGAAGAAGCACCGGCUAACUCCGUGCCAGCAGCCGCGGUAAUACGGAGGGUGCGAGCGUUAAUCGGAAUUACUGGGCGUAAAGCGCAUGCAGGUGGUUCAUUAAGUCAGAUGUGAAAGCCCGGGGCUCAACCUCGGAACUGCAUUUGAAACUGGUGAACUAGAGUGCUGUAGAGGGGGGUAGAAUUUCA
RNAcentral lists this ribosomal RNA (652 nucleotides) under uncultured Vibrionaceae bacterium. RNAcentral describes it as "bacterial SSU rRNA". It matches the Rfam family "Bacterial small subunit ribosomal RNA", at positions 28 to 671 of the family's 1533-position model. The record is from RNAcentral. Lineage: Bacteria; Pseudomonadati; Pseudomonadota; Gammaproteobacteria; Vibrionales; Vibrionaceae.